GAUAGCCAAAAAUAACACCAGGAUUUAAAGUUAAAUUUGUUAUUUUACGUACAUCUCCACCACCAGGUGCCCAAGUAUCAUAAACACCACCGAACCAUACAGCUUUAAACACUAGUAAGAAAGCACCAAGUCCUAAGAUAAUUAAAUGAAUACCUAAAAUGGUAGUCAUUUUGUUCUUAUCUUUCCA
RNAcentral lists this antisense RNA (187 nucleotides) under Staurastrum punctulatum. RNAcentral's name for it is "Antisense RNA which regulates isiA expression". It matches the Rfam family "Antisense RNA which regulates isiA expression". The record is from Rfam by way of RNAcentral. Lineage: Eukaryota; Viridiplantae; Streptophyta; Zygnematophyceae; Desmidiales; Desmidiaceae.